RNAcentral lists this long non-coding RNA (997 nucleotides) under Anser brachyrhynchus (Pink-footed goose). Its description in RNAcentral is "lncRNA (ENSABRG00000003059.1)". Lineage: Eukaryota; Metazoa; Chordata; Aves; Anseriformes; Anatidae. The record is from RNAcentral.
CCCGCGCUGCGGGCAUGGGCCCGGGCCCGGCUCCGGCCCCGGCCCCGGGGCGCCGCCCGCGCCUUUGCUUUGUAACCCGUUUAGGGUGCGGAAAUAACGUUGCAGCGGUACCUGCGCACGGCGCUCUGCGUUUAGCGGUGUGCGUGCCCGGGAAGUAUUUAGGAAGGGCUCUUUGUCUGUGGUUUACCUGAUGUCGAGGAACGCUUGCUGCCAUAGCUGUGCAAACGUAGCGCCUUGCAAAGGCUGCUGGCUGGUUUCGUUGGCGGAGGGCGGAGGGCUCCUUCAGCCUGGACCUUCGGCAGUGGUUUGGCACAGAACUCUGUUGCUAGCAACUGAUGCGAAAAAAACAUUAGUCACAAAUUUCCAUGGGCUGGCCACCAGCUCUCUAAAGAUGCCUUUGAGACAAACUGCAGGCAGAGGCAGCCAAGACCUCUAAAGCAGAUUUGGAUCCCUGAGGAAGUGUGUGGGUAGAAAGGGCAGUUGCGUAUUUCUGACACUUCAGGCAACCCCUCCGAACUCCAUCCUCAUCUUUCGAGCUCCUCCAGCCACGGAUCCGACACUACCAUACCCAGUGUGGACUGGAGAAGGAUUGUCUUUUCUCGCUGCUGCUGUUGUAGAGCACAAUGAGGUUGCUGACUGAUGCUAGCUGCAUGUACAAGGAAGAAAAAGCUGAAGCUGACAGAAAAAAAAAAAAAGGAAAAAAAAAAAGAGAAAAAAAACUGUAAGGAAGAAAAUGGUCUACAAAUUGGGAAAAGCAUUCUGCUUUGACAGAAUAAAAAUAAAACCUGGAAUAGGAAAGGAAAGGCAUGAAAGAGAGUACGUUGCCAGGGUAACAGAGUGUAAGCAGGAGAACAGCACCUUGCAGAUCACAAAGGCAAAUCUGCAGAAAGAAAUUUCAAGCACAACAGUAAGAAAACACUUGGAGCUGAAGCUGACCACGCAAGAGAAGAGCUGCAUGCAAGACAGGACUACAGCGUUCUUAGCAAAUUGGGCAUGA